Anastrepha ludens (Mexican fruit fly) is the source of this 543-nucleotide long non-coding RNA. RefSeq lists it as uncharacterized. The record is from RefSeq and is a predicted model, not a curated record. The transcript is spliced from 2 exons. Lineage: Eukaryota; Metazoa; Arthropoda; Insecta; Diptera; Tephritidae.
AAAACAAGUUGUGAGUCACAGCGUUCCAAAAUAAAGUACAAAAUGCAACAGCAAAACUGUAAUUCCAACGAUUCUGAUCUGGUGAUAUGAAUGUUAAUGAGUCACGCUUUUGUAGGCUUAUUGAUUGCCAAUCACUUAGUCACUCGCUCAGGAACUGAAGAUUAGUCCGAAAACUAGUUGGAAUCAUUUUCAAAAGGCUAGUCUCAAGACGAAGCUCAAUGCAGGGGUGUCACACAAAUCCAUGGAAAAUAAUCUUCUGGGCGAUUUUUUCUGAAGCUUUAAAUCUUGAUCGUUUGGGCAGAUCGCCAAGCCUAGAUUAACAUCCAGAAAUGUUAUUCUGUAUGUUUGGUGAGACUGGAAAGAAAUCACGCAGUACACUACUCGUAUGAGUAGUUUCCAUUGGUUCAAAACACAAUUUAGACCUCUAUUGUCAACAAUUGGUUCGUUGAGGCAGGCGAUCGACGAGAAAGAGCCAGAAUUGAAGAAUAAAUAUAUAUGUAUAAAGAGAUGGCCCAGAAACAAAAAAAUUUACGAAAUGAAGUA